CAAAUACUCCCUCCGUCCGAAAAUACUUGUCAUCAAAAUGGAUAAAAGGAAAUGUAUCUAGACGUAUUUUAGUUUUAGAUACAUCUCUUUUUAUCCAUUUUGAUGACAAGUAUUUUCGGACGGAGGGAGUAGAAA
Molecule: non-coding RNA, 135 nt
Organism: Triticum aestivum (bread wheat)
Lineage: Eukaryota; Viridiplantae; Streptophyta; Magnoliopsida; Poales; Poaceae
Source: Rfam